This 253-nucleotide ribosomal RNA is filed under the name uncultured bacterium. RNAcentral's name for it is "partial 16S ribosomal RNA". It matches the Rfam family "Bacterial small subunit ribosomal RNA", at positions 524 to 776 of the family's 1533-position model. The record is from RNAcentral.
UACGUAGGGUGCAAGCGUUGUCCGGAAUUAUUGGGCGUAAAGAGCUCGUAGGCGGUUUGUCGCGUCUGCUGUGAAAACCUAAGGCUCAACCGCGGGCCUGCAGCCGAUACGGGCAGGCUAGAGUUCGGUAGGGGAGACUGGAAUUCCUGGUGUAGCGGUGAAAUGCGCAGAUAUCAGGAGGAACACCGGUGGCGAAGGCGGGUCUCUGGGCCGAUACUGACGCUGAGGAGCGAAAGCGUGGGGAGCGAACAGG